RNAcentral lists this ribosomal RNA (412 nucleotides) under uncultured bacterium. RNAcentral's name for it is "bacterial SSU rRNA". It matches the Rfam family "Bacterial small subunit ribosomal RNA", at positions 28 to 430 of the family's 1533-position model. The record is from RNAcentral.
GAUGAACGCUAGCUACAGGCUUAACACAUGCAAGUCGAGGGGCAGCAUGAGGUCAGCUUGCUGACUUUGAUGGCGACCGGCGCACGGGUGAGUAACGCGUAUCCAACCUGCCCAUAACUAAGGGAUAAUCCGUAGAAAUGCGGUCUAAUACCUUAUGUUGUCCGAGGAAGACAUCUGAUUCGGACGAAAGAUUUAUCGGUUAUGGAUGGGGAUGCGUCUGAUUAGCUUGUUGGCGGGGUAACGGCCCACCAAGGCGACGAUCAGUAGGGGUUCUGAGAGGAAGGUCCCCCACAUUGGAACUGAGACACGGUCCAAACUCCUACGGGAGGCAGCAGUGAGGAAUAUUGGUCAAUGGACGAGAGUCUGAACCAGUCAAGUAGCGUGCAGGAUGACGGCCCUAUGGGUUGUAAAC